AUACGUAGGGUGCGAGCGUUGUCCGGAAUUACUGGGCGUAAAGAGCUCGUAGGUGGUUUGUCGCGUCGUCUGUGAAAUUCCGGGGCUUAACUCCGGGCGUGCAGGCGAUACGGGCAUAACUUGAGUACUGUAGGGGAGACUGGAAUUCCUGGUGUAGCGGUGAAAUGCGCAGAUAUCAGGAGGAACACCGGUGGCGAAGGCGGGUCUCUGGGCAGUAACUGACGCUGAGGAGCGAAAGCAUGGGUAGCGAACAGGAUUAGAUACCCUGGUAGUCCAUGCCGUAAACGGUGGGCGCUAGGUGUAGGGGUCUUCCACGACUUCUGUGCCGUAGCUAACGCAUUAAGCGCCCCGCCUGGGGAGUACGGCCGCAAGGCUGAAACUUAAAGGAAUUGACGGGG
Molecule: ribosomal RNA, 398 nt
Filed under: uncultured bacterium
Lineage: Bacteria
Description: partial 16S ribosomal RNA
Rfam family: Bacterial small subunit ribosomal RNA
Source: RNAcentral